This 462-nucleotide ribosomal RNA is filed under the name uncultured Gammaproteobacteria bacterium. RNAcentral's name for it is "bacterial SSU rRNA". It matches the Rfam family "Bacterial small subunit ribosomal RNA", at positions 207 to 662 of the family's 1533-position model. Lineage: Bacteria; Pseudomonadati; Pseudomonadota; Gammaproteobacteria. The record is from RNAcentral.
AGACCUCUCGCGAUUGGAUGAGCCGAUGUCGGAUUAGCUAGUUGGCGGGGUAAAGGCCCACCAAGGCGACGAUCCGUAGCUGGUCUGAGAGGAUGAUCAGCCACACUGGAACUGAGACACGGUCCAGACUCCUACGGGAGGCAGCAGUGGGGAAUAUUGGACAAUGGGCGCAAGCCUGAUCCAGCCAUGCCGCGUGGGUGAAGAAGGCCUUCGGGUUGUAAAGCCCUUUUGUUGGGAAAGAAAACUUGCCGGCCAAUACCCGGCGAGAAUGACGGUACCCAAAGAAUAAGCACCGGCUAACUUCGUGCCAGCAGCCGCGGUAAUACGAAGGGUGCAAGCGUUACUCGGAAUUACUGGGCGUAAAGCGUGCGUAGGUGGUUCGUUAAGUCUGAUGUGAAAGCCCUGGGCUCAACCUGGGAAUUGCAUUGGAUACUGGCGGGCUAGAGUACGGUAGAGGGUAGU